AGAGUUUGAUCCUGGCUCAGAACGAACGCUGGCGGCAUGCCUCAUACAUGCAAGUCGAACGAAGGCUUCGGCCUUAGUGGCGCACGGGUGAGUAGCGCGUGGGAACCUACCCUUUUGUGGGGGAUAACCGAGGGAAACUUCGGCUAAUACCGCAUACGCCGGGUAACCGGGAAAGAUUUAUCGCAGAAGGAUGGGCCCGCGUCGGAUUAGCUAGUUGGUGGGGUAAUGGCCUACCAAGGCAAUGAUCCGUAGCUGGUCUGAGAGGAUGAUCAGCCACACUGGGACUGAGACACGGCCCAGACUCCUACGGGAGGCAGCAGUAGGGAAUAUUGGACAAUGGGCGAAAGCCUGAUCCAGCAAUGCCGCGUGAGUGAGGAAGGCCUUAGGGUUGUAAAGCUCUUUCGGCGGGGACGAUGAUGACGGUACCCGCAGAAGAAGCCCCGGCUAACUUCGUGCCAGCAGCCGCGGUAAUACGAAGGGGGCGAGCGUUGUUCGGAAUUACUGGGCGUAAAGGGCGCGUAGGCGGCCAUCUUUGUCAGGCGUGAAAGCCCUGGGCUCAACCCAGGAAUUGCGCUUGGGACGGGUUGGCUUGAGUUCGGGAGAGGAGAGUGGAAUUCCCAGUGUAGAGGUGAAAUUCGUAGAUAUUGGGAAGAACACCGGUGGCGAAGGCGGCUCUCUGGACCGAUACUGACGCUGAGGCGCGAAAGCGUGGGGAGCAAACAGGAUUAGAUACCCCCGUAGUCC
RNAcentral lists this ribosomal RNA (744 nucleotides) under uncultured bacterium. Its description in RNAcentral is "bacterial SSU rRNA". It matches the Rfam family "Bacterial small subunit ribosomal RNA", at positions 8 to 796 of the family's 1533-position model. The record is from RNAcentral.